AAUUCUCAACCUUGCAAGCUUUUUUGCUAGUGAGGCUUGGAUGUGAGGGCUUUUGCUGGCUUCCUUCAUUGGAUGGUCUGCUCCCUUUAAAUUCAUUAGUGGAUUCCUUUGUGGAUGGUCACUUGGUGUGAUAAUUAUCUACGCCGCCUGACUCUGACGCAAGACUUGUGGGGACCUGCUUAUAACCGUCUCUUUCAAGAGACAAUCUACAUUGACU
This 217-nucleotide unclassified non-coding RNA is filed under the name uncultured Mycena. RNAcentral's name for it is "partial internal transcribed spacer 2". The record is from RNAcentral. Lineage: Eukaryota; Fungi; Basidiomycota; Agaricomycetes; Agaricales; Tricholomataceae.